RNAcentral lists this ribosomal RNA (305 nucleotides) under uncultured bacterium. RNAcentral's name for it is "partial 16S ribosomal RNA". It matches the Rfam family "Bacterial small subunit ribosomal RNA", at positions 508 to 809 of the family's 1533-position model. The record is from RNAcentral.
ACAGCAGUCGCCGCGGGAAUACGAAGGGUGCAAGCGUUAAUCGGAAUUACUGGGCGUAAAGCGUGCGCAGGCGGUGAGUUAAGUCUGCUGUGAAAUCCCCGGGCUCAACCUGGGAAUGGCAGUGGAUACUGGCUCGCUAGAGUGUGUCAGAGGAUGGUGGAAUUCCCGGUGUAGCGGUGAAAUGCGUAGAGAUCGGGAGGAACAUCAGUGGCGAAGGCGGCCAUCUGGGACAACACUGACGCUGAGGCACGAAAGCGUGGGGAGCAAACAGGAUUAGAUACCCCAGUAGUCCCUGUCUCUUAUAA